GGCAAACGGGUUCAGAUAACAUAGGAAUCUACCUUGAAGUCGUGGAUAAUCUGGAGAAAUCCAGGCUAAUACACGAUAUGUUCUACGGAAUAAAGAUUUAUCGCUUCAAGAGGAGCCUGUGUCCUAUCAGCUUGUUGGUGAGGUAACGGCUCACCAAGGCUAUGACGGGUAGGGGGUAUGAGAGUAUGGCCCCCAACAUUGGAACUGAGACACUGUCCAAACACCUACGGGUGGCUGCAGUCGAGAAUAUUCCACAAUGGGCGCAAGCCUGAUCCAGCCAUGCCGCGUGCAGGAUGACGGUCCUUGGAUUGUAAACUGCUUUUGUACAGGAAGAAAUACUCCCUCGUGAGGGAGCUUGACGGUACUGUAAGAAUAAGGAUCGGCUAACUCCGUGCCAGCAGCCGCGGUAAUACGGAGGAUCCAAGCGUUAUCCGGAAUCAUUGGGUUUAAAGGGUCCGUAGGCGGUUUAAUAAGUCAGUGGUGAAAGCCCAUCGCUCAACGGUGGGACGGCCAUUGAUACUGUUAAACUUGAAUUAUUAGGAAGUAACUAGAAUAUGUAGUGUAGCGGUGAAAUGCUUAGAGAUUACAUGGAAUACCAAUUGCGAAGGCAGGUUACUACUAAUGGAUUGACGCUGAUGGACGAAAGCGUGGGUAGCGAACAGGAUUAGAUACCCUGGUAGUCCACGCCGUAAACGAUGGAUACUAGCUGUUGGGCGCAAGUUCAGUGGCUAAGCGAAAGUGAUAAGUAUCCCACCUGGGGAGUACGUUCGCAAGAAUGAAACUCAAAGGAAUUGACGGGGGCCCGCACAAG
RNAcentral lists this ribosomal RNA (811 nucleotides) under uncultured bacterium. RNAcentral's name for it is "bacterial SSU rRNA". It matches the Rfam family "Bacterial small subunit ribosomal RNA", at positions 97 to 929 of the family's 1533-position model. The record is from RNAcentral.